UUUAGGAUCCGAGUGAAAAACAACAUGAUCCUUAUUCAAGACUGGGUAGAGGUUUUCCUUCAUCUGGGAUGCCUGUGAUUCUUCUAUCGGGGCUGAUGGAGCACCCUCCUAUGGUUGAUAAAUUGACAAAAGGGAAUCCUGUAAGCGAGUUUCCGAAUUCAAACAUGGCAAGGCCCCGCGCUGGAGAAUCCAUCUUGUGCGCGCCAUCUUGCCGUAGCCAUAUUGAAUGAGAUGCCACUUUUGACAGGAGUCCACCUGACCGUGCACGUUGAUAUCCUGUUGAUGUCCGAUGAGUCAGAGAAACGGUCGAUACGUUUUUCGCUUACUCGCAUUUUUAAGCGUCAACUGCCGCACAAAUGAUGACGGUCGGACUGCUUAACGAGGCGGAAUCGAAGGAGGCUGAAAUAACCGCGGUAUCGAUGUUACGAUAAAAAGCUGGGGCCGUCGACGGGGCUGCACGCGGCGCUGCGCGACCUGAACCGGCGGGGAAUGGCGGCGCGGCCGCUGAACGUCGCCCACUCCGUGGACAUCGAGGCCUUCUACGAGCGGCACCUCUCCCGGCCGCUGUUCGCCGUUCUGCUCCGGACGAGCGGAGACCUCGACGGCUUCGUCGACUUCGCGGCGACCUUUCCGAUGCGCAUCCCCCACUGGCUGGUGCUCUUCUCCAGGGACAGCGGCAACGCCUCUCUGGCCUACUGUCGCGACCCCGUGGACAAUUCGUUUCGCUUCCGGUUCGACACGCAUUCUCUGGUUAAAUGCGCCGACGACCCGGAAGUGCACGAGUGGUACGUCGUGCGCAGAAACCGGAUAUCGAGAUUUCAUUUGGCCAACUGGGAGAACGGUCGCCUCGUCGCGACCACGAGCCUCACUCUCUACCUGAGGAGGAACAACCUCGACGGGAAGACCCUGCGAGUCGUCACGAUGGACUCGGGCUUCGUCCAGAUACGGGACGGCAGGAUUCUCGGGCUGGGCGGAAGCAUCUUGGAGCAGCUCAGCGAGACCUUGAAGUUCAAGAUAAACGUGGUGAAAAGGGAGCUGGACUACGGCAGUCCGAUCGCCCGCAACAGGAGCUGGUCGGGCACCAUCGGGCAGAUUCAUUCGGGCAACGCCGACCUCGGUGCCGCCGAAUUGACCAUGUCGGCCGACAGGAUGGAAGUCGUCGACUUUACCCUGCCCCUGAUGACGUCGAGGAAUCUGCUGUAUCUGCGGAAGCCCGACGGCUCCGGGGUCCAGUGGUCGGGCUACUUUAAGACGUUCAGCCGAGGGAUAUGGGCAACCAUAGUGGGCUUGAUCGUCGCCACGCCGGCAAUCGUCACCUCGAUAAAGCGAUGCAAGCGGUGUUGCGCCUCGUCGAGUCGAGUCAGCGACAAUUACCUUAACGUGUGGGGCAUCUUUUGUCAGCAAGGAUUGUCCGAAUAUCCCCUGGACACCUCGCUGAGGUUGGCUUACUUUUCGACCUUCGUCUCGGCCCUGAUAGUGUCGGCCGCGUAUUCCGCCUCUCUGAUUAGUUUUCUAGCGGUGUCUGCGCCCAGUUUGCCGUUUUCGACUCUCGACGGGUACGUCAACGACGGCUCUUACAAGCUCAUAGUCUUUCGAAGCAGCUCCUACUACGAUAUGUUCAAGGAUUCGAAGGAUCCCGUGUACUCGAAAAUGAUGGGUUUGAUGAAAAGGGAAGAGGAAUUGCCGAAAACGACGCUGAAUGCUUGCCUGCAGGUCUGUAAACAAAGGGUAGCGCUUUAUUUAAACGAGGACACGAGGAACGCGUUACGGACUCCAUUGCCGUGUCAACUAGUGACCGUUGAAACGGGGAGACUCGACAGGAUGGCGAUGGCAUUGACCAAGCACAGUCAGUACACCAGACUGUUCAAUUUCAUGUAAGCGCGGUCCGAAUUGCUUUCCUCGGAAAGCGUCGUGGAACGAGUUCCCAGCCCGGGAACCGCGAGGGCGUCAGUUUUUCAAGCAAAAGGCUGCGAAGAACCGCUCUCCGAAACAAAGGAAAGAAACGGAGCCCGACGGCAAACUUAAAAGCGGACAAA
RNAcentral lists this unclassified non-coding RNA (2036 nucleotides) under Orussus abietinus. RNAcentral describes it as "probable glutamate receptor, transcript variant X1". Lineage: Eukaryota; Metazoa; Arthropoda; Insecta; Hymenoptera; Orussidae. The record is from RNAcentral.